This 147-nucleotide ribosomal RNA is filed under the name Triticum aestivum (bread wheat). RNAcentral's name for it is "partial small subunit ribosomal RNA". The record is from RNAcentral. Lineage: Eukaryota; Viridiplantae; Streptophyta; Magnoliopsida; Poales; Poaceae.
AUGAAAUCAAAAAUAUUCUGAGAUGGCAAAUAUUCGGAGAUGACUAUGAAAACACCUCUCUGGAUCCUCGAAUUGAAAGAGAGAUUGAGAGGGAUCAAGAAUUAGCACGGGUGCUACAGAGAGAUAUGUUUUUAUAUCCCGCAUUGA